This 745-nucleotide ribosomal RNA is filed under the name uncultured bacterium. Its description in RNAcentral is "bacterial SSU rRNA". It matches the Rfam family "Bacterial small subunit ribosomal RNA", at positions 33 to 773 of the family's 1533-position model. The record is from RNAcentral.
ACGCUGGCGGCAGGCCUAACACAUGCAAGUCGAGCGGUAGAGAGAAGCUUGCUUCUCUUGAGAGCGGCGGACGGGUGAGUAAUGCCUAGGAAUCUGCCUGGUAGUGGGGGAUAACGUUCGGAAACGGACGCUAAUACCGCAUACGUCCUACGGGAGAAAGCAGGGGACCUUCGGGCCUUGCGCUAUCAGAUGAGCCUAGGUCGGAUUAGCUAGUUGGUGAGGUAAUGGCUCACCAAGGCGACGAUCCGUAACUGGUCUGAGAGGAUGAUCAGUCACACUGGAACUGAGACACGGUCCAGACUCCUACGGGAGGCAGCAGUGGGGAAUAUUGGACAAUGGGCGAAAGCCUGAUCCAGCCAUGCCGCGUGUGUGAAGAAGGUCUUCGGAUUGUAAAGCACUUUAAGUUGGGAGGAAGGGUUGUAGAUUAAUACUCUGCAAUUUUGACGUUACCGACAGAAUAAGCACCGGCUAACUCUGUGCCAGCAGCCGCGGUAAUACAGAGGGUGCAAGCGUUAAUCGGAAUUACUGGGCGUAAAGCGCGCGUAGGUGGUUUGUUAAGUUGGAUGUGAAAUCCCCGGGCUCAACCUGGGAACUGCAUUCAAAACUGACUGACUAGAGUAUGGUAGAGGGUGGUGGAAUUUCCUGUGUAGCGGUGAAAUGCGUAGAUAUAGGAAGGAACACCAGUGGCGAAGGCGACCACCUGGACUAAUACUGACACUGAGGUGCGAAAGCGUGGGGAGCAAAC